This 405-nucleotide long non-coding RNA is filed under the name Ficedula albicollis (Collared flycatcher). RNAcentral's name for it is "lncRNA (ENSFALG00000027750.1)". Lineage: Eukaryota; Metazoa; Chordata; Aves; Passeriformes; Muscicapidae. The record is from RNAcentral.
UAGCACAUACCCAUAGAAAUUACAGUUAUAGCAGCAUGGGAAAUCUGUAGCCAGAAUGAUGUGUUUUAUUCAGCAGUUCCAGAUUUUCUGGUUAAGAGAACUCAGAAAAAAGUCAGCCUUAAAAAAUAUGAAGAGAGAUCAUGAAGUAACAAUUUUGUCAUUGUUUGCUGUACACUUUCUCUGGCUCCCCAGAUGUCAAGCCCAGAGACUGAAGAUUUAGGAAUGUUGAGAUGAAAAAGAAGAUGGACUUAUUUUAUUUGAAGAUUCACUUUAGAACAGGGAGGCAACAUGUACGUGAUUCACAAGUUAAAUUUUGUGUAAGUAAACAUCUGAACUACAGAUGGUUUUAAAUUUUAUUAACAUCUUUGUUUUUAUUUCAUUUGCUACAUCAUUCCUAGUUCGCAU